Molecule: ribosomal RNA, 253 nt
Filed under: uncultured bacterium
Lineage: Bacteria
Description: partial 16S ribosomal RNA
Rfam family: Bacterial small subunit ribosomal RNA
Source: RNAcentral
UACGUAGGGUGCGAGCGUUAAUCGGGAUUACUGGGCGUAAAGCGUGCGCAGGCGGUUUUGUAAGACAGAUGUGAAAUCCCCGGGCUUAACCUGGGAAUGGCAUUUGGGACUGCAAGGCUGGAGUGUGGCAGAGGAGACUGGAAUUCCUGGUGUAGCAGUGAAAUGCGUAGAUAUCAGGAGGAAUACCGAUGGCGAAGGCAGGUCUCUGGGCUGACACUGACGCUCAUGCACGAAAGCGUGGGGAGCAAACAGG